AAAUUGAUUCUGUUGAACUCAAGAUUGACCCGUGUUGAGUUUAACUGUAUUGGUUUGGC
This 59-nucleotide microRNA precursor is filed under the name Xenopus laevis (African clawed frog). RNAcentral's name for it is "Xla-Novel-21_pre stem-loop". Lineage: Eukaryota; Metazoa; Chordata; Amphibia; Anura; Pipidae. The record is from RNAcentral.